This 645-nucleotide long non-coding RNA is filed under the name Sinocyclocheilus grahami. RNAcentral's name for it is "lncRNA (ENSSGRG00000041521.1)". Lineage: Eukaryota; Metazoa; Chordata; Actinopteri; Cypriniformes; Cyprinidae. The record is from RNAcentral.
AUGGGCAACAGCUGCGUGUGUCUGUGUGUGUGUGAGUGAGUGUGUGUGUGAGUGAGUGUGUGCACAGGUGUGUGGAGUCAAGACCUCUGGUGGUGAGAGGGAGAACCACAGACGCCAGACCCUGAGAAAUGUAGUGAAGCCUCUUCUCCAUUAACAUCCAUUUAAAAAACAGUCUCUGGUCUCCUUUCCUGCAUAUCGACAAAGCCACAGUGUUAGUAUUACCCAUUACGCUUUUUUGGCUAAAGGUUGCAGGCUUCCCUUCCAGUGUCUUUGGUCCCAAGGAUUGGAGUUGAGAACCACUUAUCUAAAAGCAUAUUUAAAAAAAAAAGAAGAAGGGCUUCAUUACUUUGCUGUCAUUUUUUAUUCUUUAAAAUGCCUGCUCAAGGAACAAGACCCUGUGAUCCGGUUAUAUACACUCCCUAUUUAGGUCGCGAGGCCUCUGUCCAAGCCUCUGCUUCAGCACCCAAUGCCCUUCAUCUACCCGUCUCAAAAUUGAUUACAGGUCCUGAGGACUCUGUCCACGCCUCUGCUUCAGCACACAAUGCCCUUCAUCUACCCGUCUCAAAAUUGAACAAAUUUCACUACAAGAUUAAAGGUAAUUCCCUUAAUGUCAUUUUUGUUUGCAUAUUACAAUAUUUUUCACAU